This is a long non-coding RNA of Raphanus sativus (radish), 1769 nucleotides long. RefSeq lists it as uncharacterized. Lineage: Eukaryota; Viridiplantae; Streptophyta; Magnoliopsida; Brassicales; Brassicaceae. The transcript is spliced from 3 exons. The record is from RefSeq and is a predicted model, not a curated record.
UUCUAGGCUUUUGUGUUCUUAUCAUGAAACCCAGCUAUGAUUAUCGUCUCCCCAUCGAUACAUAAUUUUAGGGUUGUUCUUCUCCUAUCUCUGAAAUCAACGAUGGAGAUCCGAGAUACCAGCAAUGGAGUUUCGAGAUAUUCAAUUGACAUGAAGCGUCUCUGUUGUUUGGAUCUUCAAACCCGGCGUUUUGCCUUCUAUUCUAAUCAAUCGAAACGCUUAUCCCAACGAAUACAUCUCAAUUGUUAGUGAUGUUCUGUUUGGGCUUGAACUGAAACUCAUCAGGAUCUACAUCUGUCGGCGUAAUCCUUUCUUCCCAAAGACUCGCCGAAACAGUUUCAAGGCCAUCUCCGACAACGUCAUAAGCCUUAUAAUACCACCACCAGAGAAUCUCAUCCGCUGACUGUUACCGAGUGUGUUGUGACAUAUCCCGGUGGAUCAUAGUAGUCAUGUCUUAUCCUUUCGUUUCCCGUACCGGCGGAAUACUGGGGACAUUACGCAAGUCCGUUGAGUUCGAACGUCGUCUUUAACGCCAUCACUAACAACAGUUUCCCACUCCUCUAAUUCAAUGGCUCUCUCAUUGCUUCGAUAGAGCAAAACUACCUUCUGUUAAAAUGAGGACAUGGCCGUUUCUUCUGCUGCGACCCUUGCGGAUGCUCAGUGUAUGGAGGCUGCUGAAGUGAUAAGAGCUUAUAGAGAGAAUUUUGCAUCUGUUGUCAACGCCCCCAUCAAUGUUCGUUCUACCAGAGAUAUCUAACACUCACUGCCGGUGUAGCCACAAGUUUUGUAGCUUCAAAAAUCUUUAUUUUUGGCAUCUUAGGUUUUUAAAAAGAUUGAUUUUAAUGAAGAAACUCAAUUCUUUUGAUUUUAUGUGAGACAUGCUUAAUACUGACAAUGUAAUCGAUAUUGCUAAAGUUCUUUUGAUGUAUAGUAUUUAAGAACAGUUUAUUAGCUCAAAAUUGGAGCUUUAUGAAGGGAUUUAAGUUAAUGUUUGGGUGUUUGGUGUAGUGUUAAGAGGAGUGGCCACAUUGAAAGUGAGGGCUAUGAAAGAAGUUUGGAAAAUUGCAUCAGUGAUUACAGGAUACAGAACUCAUUACUUUUGAAGGAUGCAGCAACAUUAGUAAUGGUAGCAAUGGAAUCUCGAGUUGUAGUCACAGUAACUAACUUAUACAAGAGAAUAAUUUCUUGGUAAUUGCUUGCAUGGAAUGGCUUGCAAGAGGCUGUCAACUUCUCAAACGUACUUGCCAAGGUAAUGAAGAUUAUCAUUUCUUUUUGGUUUAGUGUACUUUUCAGCUCUUGGAUAUUUUUCCUUAUGCUUUGUUGCUUUUGAAAGUGAUCUCCGCUGGAAAAUAGUUCAUGGAUGUGAAUUUUGUUAUAUGGAAACACACAUAGAUAUUUCAAAUGGCAGGAUAAGAAGAUAUUUCAAAUGGCAGGAUAAGAAGAGAAAGCCUUAAACAAAGCUAAAGCUUAUAAAGAAGUGUAUGUUAUGACACUGAUGAUGAUAAUGAAUUUAUGGGAUCCACUUAUGUCUAUUACUCGAGCAUUUUCUUCGAGAAUCACCAAGAUGAAAGACUGUAAAAGUGUUUUCUUUUUUUUGAGCAAAACUGGUGGAAGGUGGCAAGAAACGAUGCAUGGUCAAUUCUACCAUUUGCUAUCAUUGCAACAAUUUGUAUUUAUUCAGAGUAAAUGUAGAAUAUCACUCAGCGGAUAUAAAGUUUCACUUUGGAGCAUCAAUCGCAUUUUUUGUGAUCAGGAAACAAGUUAUUAGA